AUUGCUCUUCAACGAGGAAUCCCUAGUAAGCACAAGUCACCAGCUUGUGCUGAUUACGUCCCUGCCCUUUGUACACACCGCCCGUCGCUACUACCGAUUGAAUGGCUUAGUGAGGCCCUCGGAUCGACUUUCUGAGACUGGCAACAGUCUUUGAUUGUUGAGAAGUUGGUCAAACUUGGUCAUUUAGAGGAAGUAAAAGUCGUAACAAGGUUUCCGUAGGUGAACCUGCGGAAGGAUCAUUAUUAUUUGGAUAGGGUUUAGCACUAAUUCGUCCUCUGUUGUAUUUGGUGGUAAACCUCUUCCAAAUAUAUUGUUACUCUUUUUUUUUAAAAAAAGGAGCAAGAUGAUAUAUAUUUAAAACCCAACUCUUAUAUAUAAAAUAUGUAUAUUUUUGAAUAAUAAAAUUAAAGAUCACUUUCAACAACGGAUCUCUUGGCUCUCGCAUCGAUGAAGAACGUAGCGAAGUGCGAUAAGUAAUGUGAAUUGCAGAAUUCAGUGAAUCAUCGAAUCUUUGAACGCACAUUGCCCUCCCUGGUAUUCCGGGGAGUACGUUCGUUCGAGCGUCAUGUAAAUUCUCGGAUGUCCGUAUUGCGCGGUUCAUUCCGGCCUUGGGCGCCUCCCGGUCCGCCGAGUCCGGUGGGUCAGGUCGCCUGAAAUUAAACAGCGACAUCCGCGACCGACCACGGCGUAUUACGUUGGCCUGCCCGACAAACCUUCGCCUAUGUUGCCGACGUCGCUAUCGCAGAAACGUUCGUGACUUCCCCCUCCAGGGUUGACAUGGCACACUUCACCUGACCUCGAAUCGAACGAGACUACCGGCCGAACUUAAGCAUAUUAAUCAGCCGAGGAAAAGAAACUAACAAGGAUUCCCUCAGUAACUGCGAGUGAAGCGGGAAGAGCUCAAAUUUUAAAUCUUGUCGGCGGGCCGGCACGAGUUGUAGUUUAAAGAAGCAUAUUCGGCGUCCGUCUGGGUACAACUCCUUUGGAACAGGGGAUCACAGAGGGUGAGAAUCCCGUCCGUGACCCAGAUCCAGUCGCUAUGUGAUAUGCUUUCGAAGAGUCGAGUUGUUUGGGAUUGCAGCUCAAAGCGGGAGGUAUAUUUCUCCAAAGGCUAAAUAUAGGCGAGAGACCGAUAGCGAACAAGUACCGUGAGGGAAAGAUGAAAAGAACUUUGAAAAGAGAGUUAAAUAGUACGUGAAAUUGUUGAAAGGGAAACGCUUGAAACCAGUCAUGCUGGUGUGAAAUCAGCCGUGUCGACGGUCGCGUGCUUGGCAUCGGGAGGGCAACCCCCGUGCUAUGUUCGGCGUUCGUCGUUCGGUGCACUUUCGCGCACGCAGGUCAGCGUCAGCUUUGAUCGCGGGAAAAAACCCCGGGAAGGUGAUCAUCGGUUCGCCGGUGGUGUUAUAGCCCUUAGCCCAUACCGCGUGUCGGGGUUGAGGAUCGCAGCGCACGCUUUCGCGCUUCGCGCCUGGAGACUGGUCGUCGCCGGACGGCAGACAGCUUGCUGACUGUCGACUGAACGUCGCCCAACUCUCUAGACCGACGAUAUGUGCGCUUAGGAUGCUGACGUAAUGGUUUUAAACGACCCGUCUUGAAACACGGACCAAGGAGUCUAACAUAUAUGCGAGUGUUU
RNAcentral lists this ribosomal RNA (1633 nucleotides) under uncultured Glomus. RNAcentral describes it as "eukaryotic LSU rRNA". The stretch from base 793 to 1633 matches the Rfam family "Eukaryotic large subunit ribosomal RNA", at positions 1 to 695 of the family's 3401-position model. The record is from RNAcentral. Lineage: Eukaryota; Fungi; Glomeromycota; Glomeromycetes; Glomerales; Glomeraceae.